RNAcentral lists this ribosomal RNA (414 nucleotides) under uncultured bacterium. RNAcentral describes it as "bacterial SSU rRNA". It matches the Rfam family "Bacterial small subunit ribosomal RNA", at positions 39 to 499 of the family's 1533-position model. The record is from RNAcentral.
GCGGCAGGCUUAACACAUGCAAGUCGAACGCAUCCUUCGGGGUGAGUGGCAGACGGGUGAGUAACGCGUGGGAACGUGCCCUUCAGUUCGGAAUAACCCAGGGAAACUUGGGCUAAUACCGGAUACGUGCGAGAGCAGAAAGAUUUAUCGCUGAAGGAUCGGCCCGCGUCUGAUUAGCUAGUUGGUGAGGUAAUGGCUCACCAAGGCGACGAUCAGUAGCUGGUCUGAGGGGAUGAUCAGCCACAUUGGGACUGAGACACGGCCCAAACUCCUACGGGAGGCAGCAGUGGGGAAUAUUGGACAAUGGGCGCAAGCCUGAUCCAGCCAUGCCGCGUGAGUGAUGAAGGCCUUAGGGUUGUAAAGCUCUUUCGGCGGGGACGAUAAUGACGGUACCCGCAGAAGAAGCCCCGGCUA